RNAcentral lists this long non-coding RNA (1546 nucleotides) under Nicotiana benthamiana. RNAcentral describes it as "long non-coding RNA (NBEN_LNC016555)". The record is from RNAcentral. Lineage: Eukaryota; Viridiplantae; Streptophyta; Magnoliopsida; Solanales; Solanaceae.
UCAUGUCCUUUCCCCAAUUCUUUUCUCUCACUGCAGCUUCACCUUAAUUGCCUCCUUAACCUAAUUCAUUCCUUCCAAUUAUCUCUUGCAUGUGUCUUCUGAUUACUCUCACCCAUAUAUUACAAAUCUCCAUCCUUUUCUCUAUUGGUAAGUAUUUUUGUGCUCAAAACUUUACUUUUUUUGUUUUCAAUUUUUAGUUUUAUUCUUAUACUUUUAGAUUCAUUUUUUAGUUCUUUUACUAAUUUAGAUGAACAAUAAUCUUUUAUUGUGUAUAAUAUUUGGGUAUCUCGGUAUAAUCUUUGUUUUAUACUCAAAGUUUUAAACUUUUAUAAUCUUAGAUUCUUGGGCCAAAAAUAAGUAAUUUUGUUUUGUUUAAUUUUUAGGUAUGCUUCGUUAGUUGGGGUUUUGGUUUAUACUAAUUUGUACUGUAAAUUUAUUGAUAUGUACUGUUUUGGACCUUUAUUUUUUUGUUUUUUUUUUUGUAAAAUCUACUAGGCAAUAUGCCUAGGGCUAGUUUUUUAUAUAUAAAGAAAAACACAAAUCCUGUGAAAUAGAAGGCAUAGACUUUGUAGAAUACAUAUGUCCUAUUAUUAAAAUUGAGUAGUGCACUCAAAUUUGAUAUCACAACGACUCUAAUACCCUUUUUAUAUGACACUCAUUAGCAGCCCAAUCCAUAUGUGUGUAUUUGUAGCCAAUGUUAUUUUCCCUUGUAGUUGUCGACAGUAGAACCCCAACUAUAUCCAAUUCUAAGCCUCCCCAAGCCCAACUGCUGGUCCAUUUAUGUAUUGCAUUUGUGUAGAUACUCCCCUUGUUACAUGUGUUGUUUUUAUUUGCUCGUCUUUAUUAUCAACAUAGGAAGUAACGACCUCCCAUCUUCUUACUUUGAGUCUUAGUGUUGUUCCAGUUUUUCCAUGGAGUUUGGUGGUCCGCCAUUGCAUCACACUGUUAUUCCACCUUCCCCGGAGCUCAGGUGUAUACCUGUAGUUGCUAUCUGCUGCAUGUGGAUGUAUUGUUGUCUUAAUGCCUGGAUAUAGUUCAGAUCGACUAUCAUUGUUGCAUUUCUUUCGCUGAUGAAAAGUGGAUUGCCAAGACCUAUAUAUGAUGGUACUACAUAGCUGAAUGCCUGCUUUGCCUCCUUUGUAUUGCAUGUUGAGGAUUUUGCCAACUGUGCUGCAUUACUGCCCAAAAUUCCUUGCACAAUCCUGUAAUUUCUGUAGCUCGGCCUGCUCAUGAUGCAGGCUGUCACUAUGAUGCGUAUGCUUAUAACAUUUCCUUCUUCUAGGGAAUGAGCACAUAAUGCUAAUAUCACCCAUAGAAGUUGUAAUGAGUGAUAAGGACCAAUGUUAUUAGCUUUUCUUGCAAAAAAGAAAGUAAUGUUAAAGUAAAAGAUGGUCUUCAUCACCUCUUCUUGUUGUAUUUUGCUUUUUUGUUUUGUUUCUUGUUUUUCAUGAGAAUAAUGAGUCCUCAAAUAUGCCUGGCUCCCUGUAUGUUGUGCAUUGUGUCCCUCCAUAUGUUGAUCUGUUUUUUUCCACAGGUGCAUCAUCCA